RNAcentral lists this transfer RNA (72 nucleotides) under Deltaproteobacteria bacterium. RNAcentral describes it as "tRNA-Gln". It matches the Rfam family "tRNA". From Rfam's summary of the family: Transfer RNA (tRNA) molecules are approximately 80 nucleotides in length. The record is from RNAcentral. Lineage: Bacteria; Pseudomonadati; Myxococcota; Myxococcia.
UGGGGCGUCGCCAAGUGGUAAGGCACCGGGUUUUGGUUCCGGCAUUCGCAGGUUCGAAUCCUGCCGCCCCAA